AGCGAACGUUGGCGGCGUGCUUAACACAUGCAAGUCGAGCGAGAAAGCUCUCUUCGGAGGGUGAGUAAAGCGGCGCACGGGUGAGUAACACGUGAGUAACAUGCCUUCAGGUUGGGGAUAACUACCCGAAAGGGUGGCUAAUACCCGAUAAGACUACAGUGGCUUCGGUCGCAGUGGUCAAAGUUCAGGCGCCUGAAGAUUGGCUCGCGGUUCAUUAGGUAGUUGGCGGGGUAAUGGCCCACCAAGCCAAAGAUGAAUAGCUGGUCUGAGAGGAUGAUCAGCCACACUGGGACUGAGACACGGCCCAGACUCCUACGGGAGGCAGCAGUGGGGAAUCUUGCGCAAUGGACGAAAGUCUGACGCAGCAACGCCGCGUGUGUGAUGAAGGCUCUCGGGUCGUAAAGCACUGUCAGGAGGGAAGAACGCAGACGGUACCUCCAAAGGAAGCGCCGGCUAACUCCGUGCCAGCAGCCGAC
Molecule: ribosomal RNA, 476 nt
Filed under: uncultured bacterium
Lineage: Bacteria
Description: bacterial SSU rRNA
Rfam family: Bacterial small subunit ribosomal RNA
Source: RNAcentral